CGGAUGGGGCGGCAGCUUACGCAUGCAGUCGAGCGGAACGAUACCAGCUUGCUGGUAGGCGUCGAGCGGCGGACGGGUGAGUAAUACUUAGGAAUCUACCUAGUAGUGGGGGAUAGCUCGGGGAAACUCGAAUUAAUACCGCAUACGACCUACGGGAGAAAGGGGGCAGUUUACUGCUCUCGCUAUUAGAUGAGCCUAAGUCGGAUUAGCUAGAUGGUGGGGUAAAGGCCUGCCAUGGCGACGAUCUGUAGCUGGUCUGAGAGGAUGAUCAGCCACACCGGGACUGAGACACGGCCCGGACUCCUACGGGAGGCAGCAGUGGGGAAUAUUGGACAAUGGGGGAAACCCUGAUCCAGCCAUGCCGCGUGUGUGAAGAAGGCCUUUUGGUUGUAAAGCGCUUUAAGCAGUGAAGAAGACUCCUCGGUUAAUACCCGUGGACGAUGACAUUAGCUGCAGAAUAAGCACCGGCUAACUCUGUGCCAGCAGCCGCGGUAACACAGAGGGUGCAAGCGUUAAUCGGAAUUACUGGGCGUAAAGCGAGCGUAGGUGGCUUGAUAAGUCAGAUGUGAAAUCCCCGGGCUUAACCUGGGAACUGCAUCUGAAACUGUUAGGCUAGAGUAGGUGAGAGGAAGGUAGAAUUCCAGGUGUAGCGGUGAAAUGCGUAGAGAUCUGGAGGAAUACCGAUGGCGAAGGCAGCCUUCUGGUAUCAUACGGACACUGAGGCUCGAAAGCGUGGGUAGCAAACAGGAUUAGAUACCCUGGUAGUCCACGCCGUAAACGAUGUCUACUAGUCGUUGGGUCCCUUGAGGACUUAGUGACGCAGCUAACGCAAUAAGUAGACCGCCUGGGGAGUACGGCCGCAAGGUUAAAACUCAAAUGAAUUGACGGGGGCCCGCACAAGCGGUGGAGCAUGUGGUUUAUUCGAUGCACGCGAAGAACCUUACCUGGUCUGACAUAUCUAGAUCUGCAGAGAUGCGGGAGUGCCUUCGGGAUUAGAUACAGUGCUGCAUGCUGUCGUCAGCUC
RNAcentral lists this ribosomal RNA (1024 nucleotides) under uncultured bacterium. Its description in RNAcentral is "bacterial SSU rRNA". It matches the Rfam family "Bacterial small subunit ribosomal RNA", at positions 30 to 1061 of the family's 1533-position model. The record is from RNAcentral.